This 885-nucleotide ribosomal RNA is filed under the name uncultured Actinomycetes bacterium. Its description in RNAcentral is "bacterial SSU rRNA". It matches the Rfam family "Bacterial small subunit ribosomal RNA", at positions 56 to 918 of the family's 1533-position model. The record is from RNAcentral. Lineage: Bacteria; Bacillati; Actinomycetota; Actinomycetes.
UGCAAGUCGCGCGAGAAGUGGGGGCAACUCCAUGAGUAAAGCGGCGCACGGGUGAGUAACACGUAGGUAACCUGCCCUCGAGACCGGGAUAACCUUCCGAAAGGAGGGCUAAUACCGGAUAAGACCACGAAGUUUCGGCUUCGGGGUCAAAGGUGGCCUCUGCAUGCAAGCUAUCACUCGAAGAUGGGCCUGCGCACCAUUAGCUAGUUGGCGAGGUAACGGCUCACCAAGGCGAAGAUGGUUAGCUGGUCUGAGAGGAUGACCAGCCACACUGGGACUGAGACACGGCCCAGACUCCUACGGGAGGCAGCAGUGGGGAAUAUUGGACAAUGGGGGAAACCCUGAUCCAGCGACGCCGCGUGGGGGAUGAAGGGUUUCGAUCCGUAAACCCCUGUCAUUUGUGAACAAUGGUUAUUAUUUAAAAGAUGAUGACUUGAUAGUAAUGAAAGAGGAAGGGACGGCUAACUCUGUGCCAGCAGCCGCGGUAAUACAGAGGUCCCGAGCGUUGUUCGGACUCACUGGGCGUAAAGGGUGCGUAGGUGGCAUGUUAAGUUUGAUGUGAAAGCUCAGGGCUCAACCCUGAAAUGGCAUUGAAUACUAGCGUGCUGGAGGUUUGGAGGGGGGACUGGAAUUCUCGGUGUAGCAGUGAAAUGCGUAGAUAUCGAGAGGAACACCAGUGGCGAAGGCGGGUCUCUGGGCCGAUACUGACGCUGAGGAGCGAAAGCGUGGGGAGCGAACAGGAUUAGAUACCCUGGUAGUCCACGCCGUAAACGUUGGGCGCUAGGUGUGGGAUCCCUUCCACGGGGUUCCGUGCCGCAGCUAACGCAUUAAGCGCCCCGCCUGGGGAGUACGGCCGCAAGGCUAAAACUCAAUGAAUUGACGGGG